RNAcentral lists this long non-coding RNA (221 nucleotides) under Musa acuminata (dwarf banana). RNAcentral's name for it is "long non-coding RNA (MACU_LNC008930)". Lineage: Eukaryota; Viridiplantae; Streptophyta; Magnoliopsida; Zingiberales; Musaceae. The record is from RNAcentral.
GAUAUUUUCGGUACCACAAAACCGCGGAUGCAUCUAUGGUGAAAAUUGCAGCUAUACAUCUUGAAGGGGAUGCUAUACAAUGGUUUGACUGGUUUGAACAUACUCAUGGAGUCCUUUCAUGGCGACAAUUCAAAGAAGGACUGCUGAUCCGCUUCAGAUCAACCGAUUACGAGAAUAUUGACGGACAACUAGCAAAGAUCCGAUAAACCUCCACCAUUCAG